AUUGAACGCUGGCGGCAGGCCUAACACAUGCAAGUCGAGCGGGGUUUUCGGACCUAGCGGCGGACGGGUGAGUAAUGCGUAGGAAGCUACCCGAUAGAGGGGGAUACCAGUUGGAAACGACUGUUAAUACCGCAUAAUGUCUACGGACCAAAGUGUGGGACCUUCGGGCCACAUGCUAUCGGAUGCGCCUACGUGGGAUUAGCUAGUUGGUGAGGUAAUGGCUCACCAAGGCGACGAUCCCUAGCUGAUUUGAGAGGAUGAUCAGCCACACUGGAACUGAGACACGGUCCAGACUCCUACGGGAGGCAGCAGUGGGGAAUAUUGGACAAUGGGCGCAAGCCUGAUCCAGCCAUGCCGCGUGUGUGAAGAA
RNAcentral lists this ribosomal RNA (370 nucleotides) under uncultured bacterium. Its description in RNAcentral is "bacterial SSU rRNA". It matches the Rfam family "Bacterial small subunit ribosomal RNA", at positions 30 to 412 of the family's 1533-position model. The record is from RNAcentral.